RNAcentral lists this ribosomal RNA (455 nucleotides) under uncultured bacterium. Its description in RNAcentral is "bacterial SSU rRNA". It matches the Rfam family "Bacterial small subunit ribosomal RNA", at positions 340 to 786 of the family's 1533-position model. The record is from RNAcentral.
UACGGGAGGCAGCAGUGGGGAAUAUUGCACAAUGGGCGCAAGCCUGAUGCAGCCAUGCCGCGUGUAUGAAAAAGGCCUUCGGGUUGUAAAGUACUUUCAGUCGUGAGGAAGGUGUUAAGGUUAAUAACCUUAGCAAUUGACGUUAGCGACAGAAGAAGCACCGGCUAACUCCGUGCCAGCAGCCGCGGUAAUACGGAGGGUGCGAGCGUUAAUCGGAAUUACUGGGCGUAAAGGGCACGCAGGCGGUUAAUUAAGUUGGAUGUGAAAUCCCCGGGCUUAACCUGGGAAUGGCAUUCAAGACUGGUUAGCUAGAGUCUUGUAGAGGGGGUUAGAAUUCCAUGUGUAGCGGUGAAAUGCGUAGAGAUGUGGAGGAAUACCGGUGGCGAAGGCGGCCCCUGGACAAAGACUGACGCUCAUGUGCGAAAGCGUGGGGAGCAAAACAGGGAUUAGAUACC